UACGAAGGGGGCGAGCGUUGUUCGGAUUUACUGGGCGUAAAGGGCGCGCAGGCGGCUUAUUUUGUCAGGCGUGAAAGCCCCGGGCUUAACCUGGGAACUGCGUUUGAUACGGAUGGGCUAGAGUUCGGGAGAGGAGAGUGGAAUUCCCAGUGUAGAGGUGAAAUUCGUAGGUAUUGGGAAGAACACCGGUGGCGAAGGCGGCUCUCUGGACCGAGACUGACGCUGAGGCGCGAAAGCGUGGGGAGCAAACAGG
RNAcentral lists this unclassified non-coding RNA (253 nucleotides) under uncultured Alphaproteobacteria bacterium. RNAcentral's name for it is "contains 16S-23S intergenic spacer region". It matches the Rfam family "Bacterial small subunit ribosomal RNA", at positions 524 to 776 of the family's 1533-position model. The record is from RNAcentral. Lineage: Bacteria; Pseudomonadati; Pseudomonadota; Alphaproteobacteria.